Molecule: ribosomal RNA, 69 nt
Filed under: Vibrio parahaemolyticus
Lineage: Bacteria; Pseudomonadati; Pseudomonadota; Gammaproteobacteria; Vibrionales; Vibrionaceae
Source: RNAcentral
CUUGGCGACCAUAGCACUUUGGACCCACCUGAUUUCCAUUCCGAACUCAGAAGUGAAACGAAGUAGCGU